Molecule: long non-coding RNA, 1579 nt
Organism: Lycium barbarum (goji berry)
Lineage: Eukaryota; Viridiplantae; Streptophyta; Magnoliopsida; Solanales; Solanaceae
Exons: 3
Source: RefSeq, a predicted model, not a curated record
UUUAAUAGUGCACGGUUUGCAUAUUAAUUAUAAUUAGUGUAGAAACAUUAGUGAAGAUUAGGGAUUAAUUAACUAUGAUGUUACAUCCCGUGUUCUCAUGCGUUGGAAAGUGUGCGAGUUAAAUGAUAUUAGUAACGGACACGAGGUUAUCCCCCAAGCUUAUAGGUGGUUAAAGUGAUGGUACGCAUGUAUCGUAAGGAUUUGAAGUUAAACCAAUCGAAGCAAAAUAAGUCUCGUCGAGGUUCAAAAUUUAUUUGAAUGGAAUACAGUCCAAGCUGUAAUAUCCCGUAUUUUUGGACUAGAAAAUUUAAUCGUCCAACAUGAGCAAAUUUACCCGAGCCCAGAGAAUUCGACCAUGUCGAAGGAUGAAAAUCAAGAGCUCGGUGUAUAUGAGGAAUGAAGUCCCAAAAUUAUUUAAGACGAAAAAGUGUGACGACGAUAAUUGAAAAUAAUAUUUUUUGUGUGUCAAUGGAGGCUAUGGAAGUGAUGUUAUAUUACAUGGUCAUGGUAAUGGGUAUAUGAAGUAUGUCAAAAGUGAUCAACAUUUACGUAAAUCAUGAUUAGGAAAUUAAUUAAGAUUGUUUGAUAAAAAUUAAGUGGACAUAUGUCAUGGAUAAGCGGAAGCAAGUCCAUUAUGUACAUAUACAUAAGCAAUAUUGUGUCACAAAUAUGAUAAGUAUCAAAAGGGAAGGGGUUGGCCAAUGAGUGCCACGUGUAAGAUUGGAAAGUGUAUAUAUUAUACUAAUCAAUAUCUAGUAUUCAAUUAGUGAAGUAGUGGCAGCAUUACACGUAUUGAAAUACAUGGGUACUAUGCAUAAAUGUGCCUUCUAUUCUUAUGAUAAGUGUCAUAAUGUAGAUCAAGUUGGGGCCACGUGUAAGGUAGAAAAUGUGUAAUUUAUGUCACUUAUUAUACUUUCUUGAGAAUUCACUUGGAAGGAAAAGUCAUGCAAGAUAUUUUGGUAGAAAGCAACGUGAGCUUCAGUUCUUAGCAGCAAUGUGAGUACCAAUUUUAUGGAAGCAAAGUAUAAUUUUUCUCAAGAACGACAUGCGAGUUUUGUCCACUAUUUUGAUCUCGUUGUUCCGUUUUGUCGUGUUGUUAAAAUUUAGAAUUUAUUCAAGGUGAAGUAAUGUGGAAUAAGAGCAUUUCUUGGCAUAUAAGGCUAAAGGGGCGACGAAGCAAGCUUGGCUACGGUAGAUCUACGACAGGUACAGAUAGUCGGUUUGGUGACCCUUCAGCAUAGGAGUUCUACUCAGCUGUCUUGGAGAGCUCCGUUGUUCCGGAGUUUAUACUUUUGGUACAGAUCUUAUGAUAUAUAUAUGUAUGUUCAUCCAGGGGUACGACGGGGCCCUAUCCCGUCAUAUUUCACUGUUAGUACUCUUAGAGGUCUGUAGACAUGUGUGUGGGUUGUGUAUAAGUUCUGUUAUGCGGUGUCUGUACGAUGUGUUAUGAUAUGAUGUUCAUGUGUAGUGGCAGCCUUGUCGGCUUGCGUAUCGUCUUAUGAUUUGAUCAGUUGUGACUCCUCAGGAGACAGUUUAUAUGAAUAUUCAUAUAUGACGACGUUAUGGACCGUUGGAAUUC